GACGAACGCUGGCGGCGUGCUUAACACAUGCAAGUCGAACGGAAAGGCCUCUUUCGGGGGGUACUCGAGUGGCGAACGGGUGAGUAACACGUGAGUAACCUGCCCUUGACUUUGGGAUAACUUCAGGAAACUGGGGCUAAUACCGGAUAGGAGCUCCUGCUGCAUGGUGGGGGUUGGAAAGUUUCGGCGGUUGGGGAUGGACUCGCGGCUUAUCAGCUUGUUGGUGGGGUAGUGGCUUACCAAGGCUUUGACGGGUAGCCGGCCUGAGAGGGUGACCGGCCACAUUGGGACUGAGAUACGGCCCAGACGCCUACGGGAGGCAGCAGUGGGGAAUAUUGCACAAUGGGUGGAAGCCUGAUGCAGCAACGCCGUGUGCGGGAUGACGGCCUUCGGGUUGUAAACCGCUUUCGCUCAUGACGAAGCUUUGUGUGACGGUAGUGGGUAAAGAAGCACCGGCUAACUACGCG
Molecule: ribosomal RNA, 467 nt
Filed under: uncultured bacterium
Lineage: Bacteria
Description: partial 16S ribosomal RNA
Rfam family: Bacterial small subunit ribosomal RNA
Source: RNAcentral